RNAcentral lists this ribosomal RNA (253 nucleotides) under uncultured bacterium. RNAcentral's name for it is "partial 16S ribosomal RNA". It matches the Rfam family "Bacterial small subunit ribosomal RNA", at positions 524 to 776 of the family's 1533-position model. The record is from RNAcentral.
UACAGAGGGGGCAAGCGUUGUUCGGAAUUACUGGGCGUAAAGGGCGCGUAGGCGGCCUGCUAAGUCGAACGUGAAAUCCCCGGGCUCAACCCGGGAACUGCGUCCGAUACUGGCAGGCUUGAAUCCGGGAGAGGGAUGUGGAAUUCCAGGUGUAGCGGUGAAAUGCGUAGAUAUCUGGAGGAACACCGGUGGCGAAGGCGACAUCCUGGACCGGUAUUGACGCUGAGGCGCGAAAGCCAGGGGAGCAAACGGG